Molecule: long non-coding RNA, 1315 nt
Organism: Metopolophium dirhodum (rose-grain aphid)
Lineage: Eukaryota; Metazoa; Arthropoda; Insecta; Hemiptera; Aphididae
Exons: 4
Source: RefSeq, a predicted model, not a curated record
AGGGCACUGUUCUGCUUUACGCAUUUUGAGUCUAGUAGGUCACAGUAAUGGAUUGUGUUAAAUUUGAAUUCAAUGUAUAUCAUUUCACUAUUGAAGAUAGUAUAUUGUUAUACUAUUCUUAAGUUCAAUUUAUGUUAUAUUAUUUGCCCAAAUAGUUGUUUCAAAUUAGUGUUUAUUCCAAAAUAAAUAAAUUUAUAUAUAUUCAUUGUAUAAGAAUAACUAUUCAGAGCGAAGACGUUUAGUCAGUUUAAAUAAUCAUAAUUAUAUUUUGAAAUUUUUAUAACUAAAAUCGUUAUUCUCUGUUUAAAAUAUAUCUAAUUUAGUUUAUAUUUGAGCUUAAAAUAUCUAUUAAAAAGACUGUUUAUAUAAUAUAAAUAAUUAUUUUUUAAAUUUUUGUUUUCACACUAAAAUAGGUACUUAUGAGAAAUCUUGUUUUAAAUUUUCAAUUCUUAAACUAUGCUUUUAAAAUGCUUCUGAAGCAAAACCAUGGCUGUUUUUUUAUUAGAAAUCAUUGAUUUACAAUUUGAAGAAAAAUGUUCAUGAAUUUUCAACUAAACUGUUAUUUUCUUUUUUGAAUCGACUAAAAACAAUUGUAAUUACAUAAACAAGACUAAAUGAUUUAAACCCUAGUUAUUUUAUAUUAUAAUCAAAAUUAUUUAAAUUCAUUAUUAUCGUUUAUUUGUUUAAGUUUUGUUUCCAGCUGCUAAUCUCUUACAGUUGAAUCAUGUAAAAUGUGUAUCUGUUGACUUUUUACAAAAACAUCUGAAUCCUUCAAAUUGUUUUGGUAUUAAAGGAUUUGCUGACUUUUAUAACUGCAUGGAAUUGUCUUCAAGUUCUGAAGAAUACAUAUAAACAAAUUUUUUAAAACUGGUUGAUGCUGGUGAAUUCCUAUCUUUGUCUUCUGAAGAAAUGAUAAAUCUAAUCUCUCGUGAUGACAUUAACGGUCUAUUUGAAGAAAAAUGCAGAGGUUUUCGACAGGAGUAUUCAAGAAUGGCGAUUAAUAUCUAAUAUGUCUACUGAGAGAGGGGACCCUGGUUUGAAUGCUAUAAUCCCAGCCUUGACACGUGGACACCAGUCACACAAAUGUCUACAAAACGCCGUGCCCCUGUUAUAGGAGUCUUAGACGGUGUAAUGUAUGCUAUUGGUGGUGCCUGUCAGGAACUCGGAAGUUCAGUGUAUCUUAAAAGUGUUGAGACCUAUUCACCAAUUACUAAAGUUUUGUCUCCUAUCAAAGAUAUGCACUUGUCCAGAUUCAAUUCAAGUGUUGUGACAUUUAAGGGUUUGUUCUAUGUUAUUGGCGGAUCUGAUGAAUUUU